This 62-nucleotide transfer RNA is filed under the name Alectorobius rudis. RNAcentral describes it as "tRNA-Arg". The record is from RNAcentral. Lineage: Eukaryota; Metazoa; Arthropoda; Arachnida; Ixodida; Argasidae.
AAAAAUGAAGCAAAAAUUUUGCAUUCAGUUUCGACCUGAAAAUCAGGAAAAUCCCAUUUUUA